Molecule: ribosomal RNA, 896 nt
Filed under: uncultured Arthrobacter sp.
Lineage: Bacteria; Bacillati; Actinomycetota; Actinomycetes; Micrococcales; Micrococcaceae
Description: bacterial SSU rRNA
Rfam family: Bacterial small subunit ribosomal RNA
Source: RNAcentral
GUGCCAGCAGCCGCGGUAAUACGUAGGGCGCAAGCGUUAUCCGGAAUUAUUGGGCGUAAAGAGCUCGUAGGCGGUUUGUCGCGUCUGCCGUGAAAGUCCGGGGCUUAACUCCGGAUCUGCGGUGGGUACGGGCAGACUAGAGUGCAGUAGGGGAGACUGGAAUUCCUGGUGUAGCGGUGAAAUGCGCAGAUAUCAGGAGGAACACCGAUGGCGAAGGCAGGUCUCUGGGCUGUAACUGACGCUGAAGAGCGAAAGCAUGGGGAGCGAACAGGAUUAGAUACCCUGGUAGUCCAUGCCGUAAACGUUGGGCACUAGGUGUGGGGGACAUUCCACGUUUUCCGCGCCGUAGCUAACGCAUUAAGUGCCCCGCCUGGGGAGUACGGCCGCAAGGCUAAAACUCAAAGGAAUUGACGGGGGCCCGCACAGGCGGCGGAGCAUGCGGAUUAAUUCGAUGCAACGCGAAGAACCUUACCAAGGCUUGACAUGAACCGGAAUGAUGCAGAGAUGUGUCAGCCACUUGUGGCCGGUUUACAGGUGGUGCAUGGUUGUCGUCAGCUCGUGUCGUGAGAUGUUGGGUUAAGUCCCGCAACGAGCGCAGCCCUCGUUCCAUGUUGCCAGCGGGUUAUGCCGGGGACUCAUGGGAGACUGCCGGGGUCAACUCGGAGGAAGGUGGGGACGACGUCAAAUCAUCAUGCCCCUUAUGUCUUGGGCUUCACGCAUGCUACAAUGGCCGGUACAAAGGGUUGCGAUACUGUGAGGUGGAGCUAAUCCCAAAAAGCCGGUCUCAGUUCGGAUUGAGGUCUGCAACUCGACCUCAUGAAGUUGGAGUCGCUAGUAAUCGCAGAUCAGCAACGCUGCGGUGAAUACGUUCCCGGGCCUUGUACACACCGCCCGUG